GUGUGAGUUCUUCAUCAGAGCGAAUGUGGAUGGGGACAACUCCUGUGGAUGGGGAUUUUCUAGGGGGUCACCAUACAGGUCAAGUGCUGGCAAUGGGGAUGGGGCUUUUGGGGGAAGCUUCAAGCCCAUGUGGCCCCCUCCAGUGGCUGGUAGGCUGAUGCUUUUCACAGCCUCUGUGUUUCCAAGCCUCCUGGUUUCCAAGGCUACCACAAAGCUGGGGAGAAGGGGAUGGAAAUAGGGCAAAUUAAAAUGCUCUGAAGUUCACAGUUCUUAUAGAUACUCAGCCAUUUCUCUUGAAUAAACUCCCCCCAAACUGUGGUUAAUUGCCAAAGUCCUGGAAAAGGUUUUGACGAUUUUUGGCAAUGUUUUUGUUGCCUUUAUGGAGGAGCAGGUUUUCAGAGGUCCUUAUUCUUCCAUUCUGGGAGGGCUUGUCCCCUCAGAUUGACUCUCAAUUCAAUACACGAAAAAAAUGAAGAUGCAAUAUUUUGCUUCUGCGCGAACAUCAGCAAAAAGCUUUAAGAUGUCUAAAUCCAGCGCUGGCAAAGGUAUGACUGAGCGAAGACAGGGAGAGGUCCAUGCCAUUGAAAGAAGUCUAUUACUCAAAGUUCCGCAGAAACCAGGGAACAUGGAACCCUGCAGGGCCAGGCGAAGCCUCAGUGCACCCAGGAGACGGGGAGAGACACAGGGCCAGAGAGGAGCUGGGACCGUGCCUUCACUGCUGCUGUGGUGGGGAGCAGCCAGGUGGAGGCGUUUGUGACCCGGCAGGAAGUGAAACACACAUGUUAGGGUCUGUGGAUAAAGGGUUUGCAAGGCGAUUUUCGCUUGUCCGCAAGAGCCAGACCCCGGGGGAGAUGGAAACAGCUUUGGCUGGUAGUUUGGCCUUGAGAUCAAGGGAUGCCAGAUCAUCCAUAACUAAAUGUGUAAGAAUAGGUUAGAACACCCCUUUCGUCACAAGCUUGGGCUCCACACUCUGGGCCAAGCGUAGCAGCCCAAGGGACGGAAUGCUCUCUUGUGGGAACUGGGGGGCCCGUCGUCAUUCUGCAGAUGGGCAGAUGGAGAUCCAGACUUACAGAGGAGGGGCGCUCACAUCUCCGCAGAGACUAUCCUGGGGCAGGACUGGAGCCAGACGUCUGGGCCUGCCUUACGGGCCCCCGUUUCACACCCACUUCCCAACACUGGACCUCAUCCUGCUUCUGUACAGUGGCUGCUGCCCCGGAGGGGCCGGCUCUCACUUUUCCAGACCCAAGGAUCCUGGGGGCAGGUCCUGAGGAGGAAGAAUGCUUGUGGAUCCUCCCUGUGUGGCUUCGGGGACCCCUCCCCCUCCUCUACCCACAGAGUUUGCAAGCACAGGUCUGGGUGAUAACAGGAGGUUGGCACCAGGAUGAACUGGCUGCCACAGCGAGCAGCCCCCACCCAGGGAUGCUGCCACGCAGAAUGCGCCAGCUGUUCCCAGCAUCCCCAUGAUGGUUCCCCAAGCUACCGCCUUCUUCCCAUACCAUACCAGUGCCCUUGGGUCUCAGCCCCAGAGAGAACCUGAGCCUAGAGCCUACCCUUAAUCCUAGGCUGGAGCCAAAGCACCCAGGACCCGGACCCCUGAACCCUUCUGCAGGAGAUGCACUGGGCCACCCGGCAGCGGCCAGCCCAGAGACCUCGAUACCAUAGGGAAGCCUGGAGCCCACAGCCCGGUGCUGGGAGCCUGGAAUGAAGAAGGGGGAGACCAGAAUGGAGAGCCUGGCUAAAACCCCUGCUCCAC
Molecule: long non-coding RNA, 1753 nt
Filed under: Equus asinus (donkey)
Lineage: Eukaryota; Metazoa; Chordata; Mammalia; Perissodactyla; Equidae
Description: lncRNA (ENSEASG00005033726.1)
Source: RNAcentral